This 430-nucleotide ribosomal RNA is filed under the name uncultured bacterium. RNAcentral's name for it is "bacterial SSU rRNA". It matches the Rfam family "Bacterial small subunit ribosomal RNA", at positions 958 to 1392 of the family's 1533-position model. The record is from RNAcentral.
AACGCGAAGAACCUUACCUAGACUUGACAUCUCCUGAAUUACCCUUAAUCGGGGAAGCCCUUCGGGGCAGGAAGACAGGUGGUGCAUGGUUGUCGUCAGCUCGUGUCGUGAGAUGUUGGGUUAAGUCCCGCAACGAGCGCAACCCUUAUUGUUAGUUGCUACCAUUUAGUUGUGCACUCUAGCGAGACUGCCCGGGUUAACCGGGAGGAAGGUGGGGAUGACGUCAAAUCAUCAUGCCCCUUAUGUCUAGGGCUACACACGUGCUACAAUGGCUGGUACAGAGAGAUGCUAAACCGUGAGGUGGAGCCAGACUUUAAAACCAGUCUCAGUUCGGAUUGUAGGCUGAAAUUCGCCUACAUGAAGCUGGAGUUGCUAGUAAUCGCGAAUCAGAAUGUCGCGGUGAAUACGUUCCCGGGCCUUGUACACACCG